AACGAACGCUGGCGGCAUGCCUAACACAUGCAAGUCGAACGAGACCUUCGGGUCUAGUGGCGCACGGGUGCGUAACGCGUGGGAACCUGCCCUUAGGUUCGGAAUAACUCCCCGAAAGGGGUGCUAAUACCGGAUAAUGUCUUCGGACCAAAGAUUUAUCGCCUUUGGAUGGGCCCGCGUUGGAUUAGCUAGUUGGUAGGGUAAAAGCCUACCAAGGCGACGAUCCAUAGCUGGUCUGAGAGGAUGAUCAGCCACACUGGGACUGAGACACGGCCCAGACUACUACGGGAGGGAGCAGUGGGGAAUAUAGGAAAAUGGGCGAAAGCAUGAUACAGCAAUGCCGCGUGAGUGAUGAAGGCCUUAGGGUUGUAAAGCUCUUUUAACCGGGAUGAUAAUGACAGUACCGGGAGAAUAAGCACCGGCUAACUACGUG
RNAcentral lists this ribosomal RNA (433 nucleotides) under uncultured bacterium. RNAcentral's name for it is "partial 16S ribosomal RNA". It matches the Rfam family "Bacterial small subunit ribosomal RNA", at positions 29 to 507 of the family's 1533-position model. The record is from RNAcentral.